Molecule: ribosomal RNA, 465 nt
Filed under: uncultured bacterium
Lineage: Bacteria
Description: partial 16S ribosomal RNA
Rfam family: Bacterial small subunit ribosomal RNA
Source: RNAcentral
GACGAACGCUGGCGGCGUGCUUAACACAUGCAAGUCGAACGGAAAGGCCCCCUUGUGGGGUACUCGAGUGGCGAACGGGUGAGUAACACGUGAGUAACCUACCCUUGACUUUGGGAUAACUUCAGGAAACUGGGGCUAAUACCGGAUCGGAGCUCCUGCUGCAUGGUGGGGGGUGGAAAGUUUCGGCGGUUGGGGAUGGACUCGCGGCUUAUCAGCUUGUUGGUGGGGUAGUGGCUCACCAAGGCCUUGACGGGUAGCCGGCCUGAGAGGGUGACCGGCCACAUUGGGGCUGAGUUACGGCCCAGACUCCUACGGGAGGCAGCAGUGGGGAAUAUUGCGCACUGGGCGGAAGCCUGAUGCAGCAACGCCGCGUGCGGGAUGACGGCCUUCGGGUUGGAAACCGCUUUCGCCUGUGACGAAGCGUGAGUGACGGUAAUGGGUAAAGAAGCACCGGCUAACUACGUG